RNAcentral lists this long non-coding RNA (227 nucleotides) under Ananas comosus (pineapple). RNAcentral's name for it is "long non-coding RNA (ACOM_LNC028810)". The record is from RNAcentral. Lineage: Eukaryota; Viridiplantae; Streptophyta; Magnoliopsida; Poales; Bromeliaceae.
UUCAGUAUUGCUAUUUUAGUUAAUUUACUCUACUUACGCUGAAAUACAGAAAAUUUUACUGUAAAUAUGCGCUUUUUUAUCUUUUUCUCCGAACUUUAAAAAAUUUAUACUUUUUUUCCUCAAAAUUUUAAGUUGAUGCGUUUAACGCUCCUUCGUUGGAAUUUCAUUACUAUUCUGUCAAUUUCUUAUGAUUUAUAUGAAAAUAUCUAUUUGAUCUAAUUUGAUUU